Molecule: RNA transcript, 1109 nt
Organism: Bufo bufo (common toad)
Lineage: Eukaryota; Metazoa; Chordata; Amphibia; Anura; Bufonidae
Exons: 7
Source: RefSeq, a predicted model, not a curated record
UCUGGUGACGCUCGGGCAGUAGCCGGACUAUCCCCUCAUUUCCGGUGAGAUCAGGACUCGAUGGUCCAGGGGCCGGAAGUUUGUGUUCUGUGCAUUUGAAAUCAGGCGCGCUGCCGCACAGCUGUGAGGACGGUCACGUGACUGCCGCCAGCGAUGGAUCUGUUAGAGCAGUUUCUCGCUGGGGAUGAAGAAAAUCUUUGCUCCUGCGCUUUGGAGGAACUCAAGAAAAUUGUCCAGCUCUUAGCCGAUCAGGUCCGGUCAAAACGAGAGGAAUUGUGCAAGACCAAAGCCGAGGUGCAGAACCAGGAGGCCGAGACCGCUAAAAGAAGUUUGAGCAGAGAGUUUCUCGUCUCCCAGUUGGCUCAGAUUAUGGAUCUGCAGGAAGCUCUGGAAGAAGAAGAGAAAAUGCAGCAGCAGCUCCAGGCGGUGACACAUGAAAUGGAAAGAUUUAGUGAAGCUCGGGGCUCAGAGUCCUGUGACGCCUUGGAAAUGCGAAUUAAGGAAGCUGAAGACUUCUUGUCCACUUGCUGUCAGCAGGAAAAGGCGCUUCUGGCUGAAGUAGAAAUUCUGAAGACGUCGCUGGAGAAAUCACAAGCUACACUGGGACAGACGGCGUCCGAGCGUCAGGCAGGUGAGGUGCACGAGUGGAGACGGAGCUGCUUGCUCUGCAGAACACUCUCUCUGCCCAGAGCCGCCUGGCACAUGGUGAAGCCGCCCUGGUGCUCAGCGCAUGUAUAGAGGAAAUGGGCUUGCAGAAUGUUAUACCAGGAAAGCUGCGCAAAAAAUGAGAUUCACCUCGAUGCUGACCAGAAGGGAAACUUCCGUGAUCAGUGUAAAAACAUGAGGACUGUGAAUCAUAGGCCAAAUCUUCGUGCAGUCCUGGAACUCUCCUGCAGGGGGCGUAUGGUGCCAAAUUAAUUUAUUUCAGUAGCAUGAAGGAAUUGAUGCUAAAGCCUGGAGCCAUUUCUAUCUCUCGUCAUGUCUUCUGUCAUCUGGAUGAUCGCCGUGGGACACUGUUUUUGAGUAAUGCGUCAAAUGUUUUGUAAAAUGACGUAUCGAAGCGCUGUACAAGCUUUCUGUGUCUUUUGUUAAGGCAUCGCUCUUGUCUU